RNAcentral lists this ribosomal RNA (558 nucleotides) under uncultured bacterium. RNAcentral's name for it is "partial 16S ribosomal RNA". It matches the Rfam family "Bacterial small subunit ribosomal RNA", at positions 355 to 902 of the family's 1533-position model. The record is from RNAcentral.
UGGGGAAUUUUGGGACAAUGGGGGGAAACCCUGAUCCAGCCAUCCCGCGUGUGCGAUGAAGGCCUUCGGGUUGUAAAGCACUUUUGGCAGGAAAGAAACGUCGCGGGUUAAUACCCCGCGAAACUGACGGUACCUGCAGAAUAAGCACCGGCUAACUACGUGCCAGCAGCCGCGGUAAUACGUAGGGUGCAAGCGUUAAUCGGAAUUACUGGGCGUAAAGCGUGCGCAGGCGGUUCGGAAAGAAAGAUGUGAAAUCCCAGAGCUUAACUUUGGAACUGCAUUUUUAACUACCGGGCUAGAGUGUGUCAGAGGGAGGUGGAAUUCCGCGUGUAGCAGUGAAAUGCGUAGAUAUGCGGAGGAACACCGAUGGCGAAGGCUGCCUCCUGGGAUAACACUGACGCUCAUGCACGAAAGCGUGGGGAGCAAACAGGAUUAGAUACCCUGGUAGUCCACGCCCUAAACGAUGUCAACUAGCUGUUGGGGGCCUUCGGGCCUUGGUAGCGCAGCUAACGCGUGAAGUUGACCGCCUGGGGAGUACGGUCGCAAGAUUAAAAACUU